Molecule: non-coding RNA, 2172 nt
Organism: Balaenoptera ricei (Rice's whale)
Lineage: Eukaryota; Metazoa; Chordata; Mammalia; Artiodactyla; Balaenopteridae
Source: the annotation of a RefSeq genome assembly
AUGGCAAAGCAGCUCAGGGACCUGAAGGCUGACCCACGGCUGCAGGUAGCAGGGGCCCAGUGGGUGGCAGCCUCCAUCCACAGCCCAUCCGUCUACCCCUUGGGCUCCUGUUGCACAAGUGCUACCAAUGCCACUUCUGUGACGCUGGGCUGCCUGGUCACGGGCUACUUCCCGGGGCCAGUGACCAUGACCUGGGACACAGCGUCCCUGAACAGGAGCACCCUGACCUUCCCUGCCGUCCAAAACUUGAACUCCAGCCUCUACACCGCCAGCAGCCAGGUGACAGUCUCGGGCGAGUGGUCCAAGCAGAAGUUCACCUGCAGUGUGGCUCACGCUGCGUCCAACACCACCACCACCAAGGCCGUCACUGGGUGCACCAAGAGCUUCCCCGACCCCUCUGUGAAGCUCUUUUACUCCUCGUGCGACCCCCGUGGUGACACCCAUACCGCCAUCCAGCUCCUGUGCCUCAUCUCCGGCUAUACCCCAGGCAAAGUCAAGGUCACCUGGCUGGUGGACGGGCGUGAGGCCACAGACGUGUUCCCACACACCGGCCCCGAAAGGGUGGAGGGCAAACUGGCCUCCACUUACAGCGAGCUCAACAUCACGCAGGGCCAGUGGGUGUCCCAAAUCACCUACACCUGCCGGGUCACCUAUUAUGGCUUCACCUACGACAACCACGCCCGCAGGUGCACAGCCGAGUCUGAGCCCCGUGGCGUGAGCGCCUACCUGAGCCCACCCACACCCCUCGACCUGUACGUCAACAAGUCACCCAAGAUCACCUGCCUGGUGGUGGACCUGGCCAGCGACAAGGACAUGACACUGACCUGGUCCACGGAGAACAAGGAUCUAGUCUAUCCAGACCCACCCAUCGCCAAGACUCAGUUCAACGGGACGGUCACCGUCACGUCCACCCUGCCGGUGGACGUCAGUGACUGGAUUGAGGGCGAGACCUACUACUGCAAAGUGGCCCACCCACACCUGCCCAAGGAGAUCCUGCGCUCCAUCUCCAAGGGCCCUGGCAAGCGUAUGAUUCCCGAGGUCUACGUGUUCCCGCCACCCAAGGAGGAGCUCAAGACCAAGGGCGAGGUCACCCUCACCUGCCUGAUCCAGAACUUCUUCCCCGCGGAUAUCUCCGUGCGGUGGCUGCGGAACGGCACCCCGAUGCAGGCGGACCAGCACACCAGCACGGGGCCCCACAGGGUCCGCGGCUCCAGCCCCGCCUUCUUCGUCUACAGCCACCUGGCGGUCAAGCAGGCCGACUGGCAGCAGAGGAGCACGUUCACCUGCCAGGUGGUCCACGAGGCCCUGUCCGGCUCAAGGACCCUCGAGAGAUCGAUGUCCAUCGACCUUGAGCUGGCCCUGGAAGACCUGUGCGCAGAGGCGGCCGAGAGCGAGGAGCUGCAGGGGACACGGACCAGCCUCCUCACCUUCGUGGCGCUCUUCCUGCUCAGCGUGAGCUACAGCGCUACCGUCACCCUCUGCAAGGCGAAGUGGGUCCUGGCCGCCGUCCGGCAGGAGCAGCCGCAGGCUUCCCGCGACUACACGGACAUUGCACAGCCCUGCCUUUCGCCUCCUUGUGUGAGCAGCCCCGAGGCGGCCAGCUCUACCCUGGGCCGGAGGAAGGAGCAGAACAGCCCCCAAGGGGCCAGAAGAGGCCUGGGCUGGGCGUGGCUGCUGACCACCCCAGGCUUCUCCCAGGCCCCUGGGCUUGGGCCCACACCGGCUCUGACUGAACAACCCCUGAAACACAGUGACGGCCUGGAGCCCAUGGCCCAGCCCACGCUGGAGCCCAGAGCCAAAUCUAGGACUCAGAGUCCCAACCAGCCCAAUCCAGCGUCUGAGUCCAGCCCAGCCAAGCCAAGGGCUCACUCCCCAGGCUCAGUCCCGCCCUCCGUGCCCCCAGGUCCAAGGGCACUGCCCCCCAUGCCCUGCUCCUGUCCCGUGCCCACCCUCCCUGCUGUCCACCCCCAGGCCCCCUUCGUGCAGAAUGAGGCUGCAGAGCAGACCUUCCGGGGAGGGGCCAGGGCAGUUUUCAGGGCUGCGGGCAGGGCCCUAGGAUGUGAGGCAGGGUCCCACAGCAAAAGGCGCUUCCCAAGGGGUCCGCAGUGUGGCCAAAUCAGCCCUGCAGCACGCAGCCCGUCCCCCGUGCCCUCGUCCCGACGCAGGAGAUAG